This 114-nucleotide ribosomal RNA is filed under the name Bacillota bacterium. RNAcentral also lists the same sequence under 1 other name. The record is from RNAcentral. Lineage: Bacteria; Bacillati; Bacillota.
CCUGGCGGCUUCGCACGCGGGAACCACCCGAUCCCUUCCCGAACUCGACCGUGAAACCGCGUCGCACCGAUGAUCGUGUGAGAGUACUCAUGCUAAAGUAGGUCACCGCCAGGC